This 2331-nucleotide long non-coding RNA is filed under the name Salmo salar (Atlantic salmon). Its description in RNAcentral is "lncRNA (ENSSSAG00000118053.1)". Lineage: Eukaryota; Metazoa; Chordata; Actinopteri; Salmoniformes; Salmonidae. The record is from RNAcentral.
AUAGCCCAUAGUGUUUGGUUGGUAGAUAUGACACUAUGUCCCCCAGAGGGAAAGUAGAAGUUUCUAAUCUAAUCUCAUUGCUCUCAGAUACACUUGGUGACCUUUACUGAAGCUAUGUGGUUUCAUAACAGUAUUGUACAUCAUGAUUGCUGAGGAAAUGUUACAUUUAUGCCUUAACUAUUUGUCUCCACCCUCCUGUAUCCUAUUGACUGUUCCAUAUUCUUCUGGCUAUCAGUUGACUCUGAAUGAACUUACCAUCCAUCUGUCCCAGCACUUCUCUCAAGGGGUGAACGUAGAGGACUCCCUGCACCCCUGUGUAGACACCCCCUGUGCCAACAGGGGCAUCUGCCGCCCCAAACAGGCCUUGUAUUAGUGUGACUAUUAGGGCUUGCAAGUUAAGCAUUUCAUUGUACUUGUGCAUGACAAAUACAACUUGAACUUGACUGCCCCCUGGGGUACACUGACAAGCACUGCCUGCAAGGUGAGACUUCUCACGCUUAUACUUUAUAAUGCAUGAGUAUCAAAGGAGUCUGGUGGGAGGAGCUAUAACAGGACAGGCUAAUUAUAAUGGCUGGAAUGGAAUUAAUCGAAUGGAUCAAUAAUGUGGUUUCCAUAUAUUUCAUGUUUGAUACCGUUCCAUUUAUUCCAUUGCAGCCAUUACAAUGAGUUCGUCCUCCUAUAGCUUAUUCCACCAGCCUCCACUGGUGUGUAUGCUGCAUGCACUCAUCUCUAGUCUACCCACCUCUCGCCCUCUCUCUCUCUCUCUCUCCCGCUCUCUCCUCCCUCUCUUCUUGGCCCAUGGUAUUGCUGAGCAGAAUGUGAGACUUACUGCAUGAACUGUAAAUCUCACUGUGUGUCAUGUUGUUCAGAUGCAUAAUUCUACGAUAUCAUAUUAUAAGAAUGAGCAGGCAUGAAUUGAUAACAGCAUGUGAAAGCAUGUGGCAUUUACUGGUAAUUGGAAGCAUUCUAUUGAUUGUUUUCUGUUGCCUAGUUGCCUACAACUGAAUGAAUCUGUCCAUUGUAAAAGUUGUAGUGUCGUCUAGUGGACAUUGUAGGUAAGGGCAACUUCCCCUUUAUAUCCUCUUGUGACAUAGACCACUGAGAUUGCAGUUUAUUGGAUGAAGGUGACUCAAUUACAACAAGGACAUUUUUAAGAGGUAUGCCCCUUCGAUUUUCCUAUUUCAUUAUGAAUCAACAAGCCUUAUCAGUAGACCCAAAUAAGUCUUAUCUCCUCUACUAUCUCUGUAUCAGGGUGUUUUAAAAUUUUUUAUUUAACCUUUAUUUAACUACGCAAGUUAGUUAAAAACAAAUUCUUAUUUAUAGACUCAUUUAUAGGGGAGACUCAUUAACAGGUGGGACUCAUUUAUAGGGGAGACUCAUUAAUAGGUGGGACUCAUUUAUAGGGGAGACUCAUUAACAGGUGGGACUCAUUUAUAGGGAGACUCAUUAACAGGUCAGACCAUUAGUCUGUUAAUUAUUACGCUAAUAUUUACUGUAUGUCAUUGAUGGAACCCAAACAAUUAAGAUGGAUGGUUAACUUGCAAAUAUUGUAUUAUUUCUGGUGUUUUACUGUAAAGAAUGUCCAUUGAUUUGUUAUAUGGAAUUCCCUUAUUAAUAGAAGAGUGAGAUAUGGAACCCCUCUAGAAUGUCUCUGUGCCUGAUACUGAGGUGGGGUGUGGGGGUUUGAGCCAACAGAGACUGUACUUUCUCAUAAAGCUGGGAUCUUUUAAUGUAGACUGUACUAUAUUGACUCUGUUUUACAAAUCUUUUAUUGAGAGUAUUUUAACUUUUUGUAUUGUUUGUUGGUUUGGCAAUGCCACUGUCUGCCAGAGAAAAAUGUUGAGAAGGAUUAUUACCACAGGAAGUAAGGUACUUGGAGUCAAACAGUCGGGCCUGGAUGAGAUCUUUAAGGUCAGGGCCCUCCGUAAGGCUCACAAAAUCAUUUUAGACCCAAGCCACCCCCUGUACCCGGACAUUGAACUACUCCCCUCUGGGCGCAGGUAUAGGGCACCCCUCAGCAGGAAAAACAGAACUAGACAAUAAUUUGUGCCAGGUGUGAUAUCCCUCCUAAGUAGCUCGGGCUAAUGUUCCUAUCGACUCCGUAAGGCCAGCAGGCUAGUCUUUAAAAAAAAAAGGUUUUAUUUCUUUAUUUAUUAUAAUUAUUAUUAUAUAUUUUUUUAUUGGUAUGUAACUGUUAUGAAAGUUGUAUUGUCAAUUUUGUUUUGUAUUUAAACGCCACUUUAAAUGUGUACAUGACACUGCAACAAUAAUUUCCCCAUGGGGACAAUAAAGUCAGUAAGUAAGGAAGUAAGUACUGUAACAUACUGCUAC